GGCUUUAUAGUUGAUUUACAAUGUUGAAUUGCAAGUUCAAAGGUGAGAUAUUUCUCUGAAGCUU
Molecule: transfer RNA, 64 nt
Filed under: Vitta usnea
Lineage: Eukaryota; Metazoa; Mollusca; Gastropoda; Cycloneritida; Neritidae
Description: Neritina usnea tRNA-Cys
Source: RNAcentral